AACGAACGCUGGCGGCAGGCCUAACACAUGCAAGUCGAGCGAGAUCUUCGGGUCUAGCGGCGGACGGGUGAGUAACGCGUGGGAAUAUGCCCUUCUCUGCGGAAUAGCCUCGGGAAACUGAGCGUAAUACCGCAUACGCCCUUUGGGGGAAAGAUUUAUCGGAGAAGGAUUAGCCCGCGUUGGAUUAGGUAGUUGGUGGGGUAACGGCCUACCAAGCCGACGAUCCAUAGCUGGUUUGAGAGGAUGAUCAGCCACACUGGGACUGAGACACGGCCCAGACUCCUACGGGAGGAAGCAGUGGGGAAUCUUGGACAAUGGGGCAACCCUGAUCUAGCCAUGCCGCGUGAGUGAUGAAGGCCUUAGGGUUGUAAAGCUCUUUCAGCUGGGAAGAUAAUGACGGUACCAGCAGAAGAAGCCCCGGCUAACUCCGUG
This 432-nucleotide ribosomal RNA is filed under the name uncultured bacterium. RNAcentral describes it as "partial 16S ribosomal RNA". It matches the Rfam family "Bacterial small subunit ribosomal RNA", at positions 29 to 507 of the family's 1533-position model. The record is from RNAcentral.